UGUGUUAAUUUCUGCUGUACUGCAAAGUGAUUCAAUUACACACCACACACAUAUAUACAUUUAAAGAAUAUUCUUUUUCUUUAGGGUUUAUCACAGGGUAUUGAAUAUAGUUCCCUGCACUAUACAGUAGGACCUUGCUGUUUAUUCAUUCUAUAUGUAAUAGUUUUCAUCUGCUAAUCCCAAACUCCCAAUCUAUCCCUUCUCCACCUCCUCUCUCCCUACUUGGCAACCACAAGUCUGUUCUCUAUGUCUGUGACUCUUUCUGUUUCACAGAUAAGUUCAUUUGUGCCAUAUUUUAGAUUCCAUAUGUAAGUGAUACAUAUGGUAUUUGUCUUUAUCUUUCUGAUUUACUUCAUUUAGUAUGAUAAUCUCUAGGUCUAUCCUUGUUGCUGCAAAUGGCAUUAUUUCAUUCUUUUUUAGGGCUGAGUACUAUUCCAUUGUGUAUACGAACUAUAUCAUCUUUAUCAAUUCAUCCGUCAAUGGACACUUAUGUUGUUUCCAUGUCUUGCUAUUUCUAUUGGAUGUUCUUAAGCCUGUUUUUUGAUUUGCGAAGGAAAAUAAUCAAUUGAAGACAUAUUAGCAGAGACUAGAUAUAUAUUAUCAAAGAUUGUAUCUAAAAAUGCAGGUACAAUUGCAUAGUGUUAUACCACGUUUUAUUACCUAGGAACAGAUGGGCCCUGUUGAUGAUAUAUUUGUCGUUUGACUUUUGACAUUAGUCACAUUUUCAGAAAUGAAUUUCUAUAUGGAAAUAGGGGCCUGUGCAUGCUCUCAUGGAGAAAGCAAAAAAAAACCUUUUUCUUUCAGGCUAGUUCACCAGACGAGGAAUAAUUCAGUUUCUAAGGAAUAAUUCAGUUUAUUCCUUAGAAUAAAGAGACAGCACAAAUUAUUUGGAUCACUGGAAAAUUCUAACACUCACGAAAAAAAUCAACUUUUGAUUUAUAUAUCAAUCUUCUAUGAGCGUGGUUAGGAAAAAGGCUGGAAAGCUGUUUUAUUUUGACCUCAACUAAAAAUGCAACUUAUGGUGACAUAAAAAAUGAGUAUUAAUAAAUCUCAAAAAACUACAAUUCCAGAGGUAGGUGUUUGGUUCAUCAGUAGCGCAGCACUUUCCAAAUUCCCAAUCAGCUCUGCUAGGAGCUGCGGGUAAAAUGACACUCUGCACAGAGGGAGCCUUACCCUCAUGCAGUCAAGUGGAGGAGAACGACCUCAAACAACUGAAUGAAGGAAUAAAAUCAUUAAUAAGGAAAAUAAACCUCAUUCGCUAAUUUCAUAUUUGCAGAUUCACCUACUCACUGAAAUGUACUUGUAAUCUCAAAACCGAGACUUGCAGCACUUUUGAGGUCACUUGCACAGAGUGGCAAAAACUUGGAGUCACCCAACACGCGUUUCCAGCUGAGGUCAGUUCUGCUCUUGUGCUAUAAAUGGGAGUCCUUCUUGCAUCUUACCCUGUGCUAUACUUUUUACAUUUUUUGUGCGUUUUGUUGGUGAUUUCGGUUUAAAAAAUGCCCCCUAAGCAUGAUGCUGAGGUGAUGGCUCAUGUUCCUAAGCACAAAAAGACUGUGGUGUUCCUGAAAGAGAAAAUCUAUGUGUUAGCUAAGUUUCCCUGAGGCGUGAGUUCCCGCGUGGUGGGCCGGGAGUUCAGUGUUAAUGAUCUAUAACAAAUGAGGUGCACAGAAAGCAAGGUUCUGUACUGACGGCUUGGCGAAAACGUUGUGACCAGAGGUGGCCAGGACCUGACCCUGUGUUUCCCCUCGAAGUGAGAGUUCUGUAUUCGCUCACUCAGUGUCCGAGGUGACUUUAUAGAACAAACCGCUGUGAAUUACAAGGAUGGAUAUGUAUCAGGAUGAGCGCCAGAAGAGGAGCUACAGAGGUGCCGAGAAUGAUGUGGGUGAGCCUGUUCUUGAGAGAGAAGCCUCUUGGAGGAAUUGACAGUUGAGCUGAGACCCAAAGGUGAAAAGAAGCUGCCGAGCAGGUGGAGAACAUUCCGAGCAGAGGGACCAGUGGGAUCUGGAGGCAGGAAAGCUUCGGCCUCCGUGGGUACCUGAGCCCUGUUGGGACAUGAUGGAGAAACAGGCAGGGGCCAGCUCCAAAGGACCUUGUGGACCUGGCUAAGAAGUUUGGGUUUCAUUCUAAAGGCCUGGAGUAAAGCUGCAAACUGGAAAGAAGCGCAAGCUGCAGCCUGCAGGCGAUGCAGUGGAAAUCAAGUGACUCUUCUCAGUUGGCUGGGUCCUUGUCUGUUCUCAUCACUAGGCUCUAGAGGUCACAGAUUGUCCCUAUUCGCUGUCUUUUCGGGGCCUAGGAUAGAGCCAGGACCAACCACUCUGAGCCCAGGGCAUGGACCACCACAAGCCUACACACACGUGUCUGCUGACGGAAUUCUGCAGGGGUAGGUGUGAAGACACCAUAGUGAGGACUUUUCCUAGAACCAGGACAAAACCAGAAUUCAGGCCUCUGCCUCCCAGGCUGGCUGACAGGCCAAUGGUGGGAAGCUGAGCUCUCAGCUCCAGCAAAGGCAGACCCGCCCUCCCCUGCUCCUCAUCCCCGGGCAGGAGCUGGCAGGAGAUCAGACGCUGCUUCAAUUCCAAGGAGCACACGAACAAAGGCUGUAAAGUUGCUAAGAAACCUGCUUUUGCUGAGGGCUCACCGAGUGUUCUUUUGUUUCUCUGGCGUUGUGUGUGUGAGUGAGAGUGGGUGUGAAGUGCGCCUAGGGCUGUCACCCUGCCAGCCCCAGAUCACGUCAAACUUGAAGGCAAGAGCUGUAUGCUACCGAGCCCCAUGGGGACCCCAGGUAUCGCCAAAAUGGGCAGUGAAGGGGGAACAAAAGAGGAGCCAGCUGCCUGAGGGCAGACGCUGGCAGAGCUGGGAGCAGCUGCAGGAAGGAUGCUUUGGAUGCUGAGUCCUGGACCCAUUUCACCAAAAGCCCAGAAGCCUGAGGGUGGGGGACACCACUAGUCACACCAGGGGAGGGGGGGGUCCCACUCCCAUCCCCCAGCUGAGCUUGGAAAAUAAAUCGUUAACAAGACUCAGGCCAUUGGAGACUACUUGAUGCACGAUCUGUAGAAGUGUAAGGUUCCAGGCAACUAUCUAAUUUGUUGUCUUCUCAUUGCUGUAAGGAGAAUCUGAGGCCUAGGGCGCGGAAGGGACUUUCUCAAGGGCACAUAGCAUAUAAUGGAUGUAGGAGAGCUCACUAUAGGGUCUGCAGCCUGUGAGUAGAGGAAAAAAAGGCUUGGAGUGUACUCUGAAAGUACAUUAUUCAUCCAUGUGUCCAUUCAUCAAAUACUUCCUUCCUUCCUUCCUCUUUCUUUCUUUUCCUGCUUUUUAGGGCUGUACCUGUGGCAUAUGGAAGUUCCCAGGCUAGGGGUUGAAUCAGAGCUAUGCCACAACCACAGCAACUCAGGACCCAAGCUGCAUCUGCAACCUACGCCACAUCUCACAGCAGUGCCAGAUCCUUAACCCACUGAUCAAGGUCAGGGAUUGACUCCGAAUCCUCAUGGAUCCUAGUUGGGUUCGUUAACCGCUGAGCCACACAGGGAACUCCCCAUUCAUCAAACACUUAUUGAGCCCUUACUAAGUGCCAGGAGCCCCAAAUCCCCAACCCCAGCCAAACAGCAAGAAAAGGAGAAUGCAAACCUUUGAGCAAAUUGCCAGAUUCUCUGCAUCUGUUUCCUAGUAAGUGUGCCCACCCCACCGUGGAGCUCCCACUGUGUCUGGACAAGGGCUUUGUUUACCGUGGGCCUUCCUCUUGCUUGCAGCCUUAGGAGGACGAGGAGCUAAAAUGGACAGGAAACAUGAUCUUCCUCCCUGUCUCCCCACCUACUCCAGGGAAGAAGAACCCUUUUCCCUGGUCAGUGACUUGGAGGAGGCACCCAAGGGCUGGCUGUCCUGGAUUUGUUUCUCCCUCUGCAGGCCCUGGGUGCCUCGUAGGUACCCAGCACCUUGAGCAGGUCAUUCCUGGCUCCAGAUGUCAGUGAAGGGCACAACUGACACUCUCACUCUGCCCAGUUUAAAAUCCUUAAAAUCAAGACCAGAGGCCCUGUGGGGUCUGGCUUCAGCCUGCCCUUUCCUUCUCUCCUGCUCUGCUCCAGCCUUGCUGACCUUUCCACCUGCAAGCUUUCCCAGGGGCUUUGCCCAUGCCGCCCUACACCUGGA
RNAcentral lists this long non-coding RNA (4146 nucleotides) under Sus scrofa (pig). RNAcentral describes it as "lncRNA (ENSSSCG00000062705.1)". Lineage: Eukaryota; Metazoa; Chordata; Mammalia; Artiodactyla; Suidae. The record is from RNAcentral.